AUUUUUUCUUGACCGUUUUCUUGAGAGCUGCAUACAGGGCUUUAGUAUCCAGCUCUUAAGAAAAUGCACAAGAAAAUGUUCGUGUUCUUUCUUCUGCUUGAAAUAGUAGUAGGCCAGUAAUUUUGACGUUUGAUAAUGCACCGUGAAUAGUAAACAAUGGCAGAAGAAGAGCGGUAAAAAGUAAACAAAAGAAACAAUCUUUUGCCUAUGACCAAUUUGAGAUAGUUUUCAGUAUCCGAAAUGGAAGAUUACGAGGCUCCACUGGCAAGCCUCCUGAAAUUAGGGGAAACAACAAAAAUGUAAACAAACAAAAGGAAAUGUCAAAAAAAGCAGUCACUGACAACG
Molecule: long non-coding RNA, 345 nt
Organism: Rhagoletis pomonella (apple maggot)
Lineage: Eukaryota; Metazoa; Arthropoda; Insecta; Diptera; Tephritidae
Exons: 3
Source: RefSeq, a predicted model, not a curated record